This 410-nucleotide ribosomal RNA is filed under the name uncultured bacterium. RNAcentral describes it as "bacterial SSU rRNA". It matches the Rfam family "Bacterial small subunit ribosomal RNA", at positions 370 to 772 of the family's 1533-position model. The record is from RNAcentral.
AAUGGGCGAAAGCCUGAUCCAGCGACGCCGCGUGGGUGAAGAAGGCCUGCGGGUUGUAAAGCCCUUUCGGUAGGGACGAAAGCUCUUGCUCCAACACAGCAGGAGGUUGACUUAACCUACAUAAGAAGCACCGGCUAACUCUGUGCCAGCAGCCGCGGUAAUACAGAGGGUGCGAGCGUUAAUCGGAAUUACUGGGCGUAAAGCGCACGUAGUCGGCUUUGCAAGUCGGGUGUGAAAUCCCCGGGCUCAACCUGGGAACUGCAUCCGAGACUGCAUUGCUAGAGUAUGGGAGAGGGAAGCGGAAUUUCUGGUGUAGCAGUGAAAUGCGUAGAUAUCAGAAGGAACAUCAGUGGCGAAGGCGGCUUCCUGGACCAAUACUGACGAUCAGGUGCGAAAGCGUGGGGAGCAAA